UACGUACGAGGCGAGCGUUAUCCGGAAUUACUGGGCGUAAAGAGUGCGUAGGCGGUUUCGUAAGUUUGGUGUGAAAUCUCCCGGCUUAACUGGGAGGGUGCGCCGAAAACUGCGGGGCUGGAGUAGGGGAGAGGUAAGCGGAAUUCCUGGUGUAGCGGUGAAAUGCGUAGAUAUCAGGAGGAACACCGGCGGUGUAGACGG
RNAcentral lists this ribosomal RNA (201 nucleotides) under uncultured prokaryote. RNAcentral describes it as "partial 16S ribosomal RNA". It matches the Rfam family "Bacterial small subunit ribosomal RNA", at positions 524 to 724 of the family's 1533-position model. The record is from RNAcentral.